UUUGAUCAUGGCUCAGAUUGAACGCUGGCGGCAGGCCUAACACAUGCAAGUCGAGCGGUAACAGAUCUAGCUUGCUAGAUGCUGACGAGCGGCGGACGGGUGAGUAAUGCAUAGGAAUCUGCCCGGUAGUGGGGGAUAACCUGGGGAAACCCAGGCUAAUACCGCAUACGUCUACGGGAGAAAGGGGGCUUCGGCUCCCGCUAUUGGAUGAGCCUAUGUCGGAUUAGCUAGUUGGUGAGGUAAAGGCUCACCAAGGCAACGAUCCGUAGCUGGUCUGAGAGGAUGAUCAGCCACAUCGGGACUGAGACACGGCCCGAACUCUACGGGAGGCAGCAGUGGGGAAUAUUGGACAAUGGGGGCAACCCUGAUCCAGCCAUGCCGCGUGUGUGAAGAAGGCCCUCGGGUUGUAAAGCACUUUCAGCGAGGAAGAACGCCUGGUGGUUAAUACCCGCCAGGAAAGACAUCACUCGCAGAAGAAGCACCGGCUAACUCCGUGCCAGCAGCCGCGGUAAUACGGAGGGUGCAAGCGUUAAUCGGAAUUACUGGGCGUAAAGCGCGCGUAGGUGGCUUGAUAAGCCGGUUGUGAAAGCCCCGGGCUCAACCUGGGAACGGCAUCCGGAACUGUCAGGCUAGAGUGCAGGAGAGGAAGGUAGAAUUCCCGGUGUAGCGGUGAAAUGCGUAGAGAUCGGGAGGAAUACCAGUGGCGAAGGCGGCCUUCUGGACUGACACUGACACUGAG
Molecule: ribosomal RNA, 739 nt
Filed under: Halomonas sp. GWS-AG-H228
Lineage: Bacteria; Pseudomonadati; Pseudomonadota; Gammaproteobacteria; Oceanospirillales; Halomonadaceae
Description: bacterial SSU rRNA
Rfam family: Bacterial small subunit ribosomal RNA
Source: RNAcentral